Molecule: ribosomal RNA, 497 nt
Filed under: uncultured bacterium
Lineage: Bacteria
Description: partial 16S ribosomal RNA
Rfam family: Bacterial small subunit ribosomal RNA
Source: RNAcentral
GAUGAACGCUGGCGGCGUGCCUAAUACAUGCAAGUCGAGCGAACAGACGAGGAGCUUGCUCCUCUGACGUUAGCGGCGGACGGGUGAGUAACACGUGGAUAACCUACCUAUAAGACUGGGAUAACUUCGGGAAACCGGAGCUAAUACCGGAUAAUAUAUUGAACCGCAUGGUUCAAUAGUGAAAGACGGUUUUGCUGUCACUUAUAGAUGGAUCCGCGCCGCAUUAGCUAGUUGGUAAGGUAACGGCUUACCAAGGCAACGAUGCGUAGCCGACCUGAGAGGGUGAUCGGCCACACUGGAACUGAGACACGGUCCAGACUCCUACGGGAGGCAGCAGUAGGGAAUCUUCCGCAAUGGGCGAAAGCCUGACGGAGCAACGCCGCGUGAGUGACGAAGGUCUUCGGAUCGUAAAACUCUGUUAUUAGGGAAGAACAAAUGUGUAAGUAACUAUGCACGUCUUGACGGUACCUAACCAGAAAGCCACGGCUAACUACGUG